This 496-nucleotide ribosomal RNA is filed under the name uncultured bacterium. Its description in RNAcentral is "partial 16S ribosomal RNA". It matches the Rfam family "Bacterial small subunit ribosomal RNA", at positions 29 to 507 of the family's 1533-position model. The record is from RNAcentral.
AUGAACGCUGGCGGCGUGCCUAAUACAUGCAAGUCGAGCGAACAGAUGAGGAGCUUGCUCCUCUGACGUUAGCGGCGGACGGGUGAGUAACACGUGGAUAACCUACCUAUAAGACUGGGAUAACUUCGGGAAACCGGAGCUAAUACCGGAUAAUAUAUUGAACCGCAUGGUUCAAUAGUGAAAGACGGUUUUGCUGUCACUUAUAGAUGGAUCCGCGCCGCAUUAGCUAGUUGGUAAGGUAACGGCUUACCAAGACAACGAUGCGUAGCCGACCUGAGAGGGUGAUCGGCCACACUGGAACUGAGACACGGUCCAGACUCCUACGGGAGGCAGCAGUAGGGAAUCUUCCGCAAUGGGCGAAAGCUUGACGGAGCAACGCCGCGUGAGUGAUGAAGGUCUUCGUAUCGUAAAACGCUGUUAUUAGGGAAGAACAAAUGUGUAAGUAACUAUGCACGUCUUGACGGUACCUAAUCAGAAAGCCACGGCUAACUACGUG